UACGUAGGGGGCAAGCGUUGUCCGGAUUUAUUGGGCGUAAAGAGCGUGUAGGCGGCCUGAAAGGUCAGCUGUGAAAACUCGAGGCUCAACCUCGAGACGUCGGUUGAAACCAUCUGGCUAGAGUCCGGAAGAGGAGUGUGGAAUUCCCGGGUGUAGCGGUGAAAUGCGCAGAUAUCGGGAAGAACACCCGUGGCGAAGGCGGCACUCUGGGACGGUACUGACGCUGAGACGCGAAAGCGUGGGGAGCGAACAGG
Molecule: ribosomal RNA, 254 nt
Filed under: uncultured bacterium
Lineage: Bacteria
Description: partial 16S ribosomal RNA
Rfam family: Bacterial small subunit ribosomal RNA
Source: RNAcentral